This 1191-nucleotide long non-coding RNA is filed under the name Homo sapiens (human). RNAcentral's name for it is "LNC_000435". The record is from RNAcentral. Lineage: Eukaryota; Metazoa; Chordata; Mammalia; Primates; Hominidae.
CGGUUUGCCUAUCUGGUGGCAUUUUCCCACAUUUCAAUUCAGACAUGAUUUGCCUCUAACAAUCAAAAAUGUUUAGAAUCUUGUUCUUUUUAUCUCACACAUUUACCUUGUAAACAGGCUGAAAUUCUUCAGUAACUGCAAAAAUUGUCUGAAUAUUAUUUUCACUCAGUUUCUGGACAAGGUGAGCAAUAGAAGGAUAAUCAUAAUAAUGGCUCAUUGUGUACAUAUUAUUUUCCAGGUGACAUUGUCCAUCAUUUGGUAAAACAAUGCCACCAAGUUUCCCAUCUCCAGCAAAGUGAAACCCGGCAUCUGUGGAAAACACCAGCAGCCGUGUAACAUUCCUCCAGCCAAUCAGUGAUCCACAAACUGCAACUUGCAUGAUGGCAUCGAAACCACCUUCUGGAGAAUCCAAAUUUCCAGAUAUGCGCUGUUUUCCAACAAGUUCAUUAAAUACUUCUCCUUUAUUAGUAAGACUGAGCACAUUUUUGUAGCUAAAUGGGCUGGUGCAGUUCUGUUCACUUGUGCAAGGGUUCCUGAGCUUAGCUGGUGUUGUGCUAAUGUAAGGCAUCACAGUCUUUUCCACAAAUGAGCCAAAUCCAAUUCUGAAGUCCGAAGUAAUCCUCCUCAUUUCAUUCAUCAGAUCUGUUCCAAGACUUUUUACAUUCUCCAAAUCGUCUUUCAUUGAGUAAGACAGGUCCAUAAGGUAGUAGAGGUCAAUGGGAUAGUCUUCAGCUCUCUUGAAUUUUAAUGUAAAUGUCUGUGGCUCCCCUGAUCUUAAUCGCAAAACCAACUGCUGUGGUUGGAUCUGAGUAAUAUCCUCUGGCUUGAGCUUCUCUGCUGUUCCUUUGCUACGGUUGGUUACAUUUUUAUUUUUCUUUAUAUCUUUGGAGCCUCUGGGAUUUUCUAUGUCAUCUGGAGGGCAACCCUUCUUUUUUAAGGCUUCUAAAUCAUCACAUCGUGCAGAAGUAGGCAUUCCUUCCUGUAAAAAUGUUGAAUUUGUGCACCACCCACAAUUUGGCCCUGCUUGUAUACAUUCUCCACAUGAUUUGGCAUUUGCUUUUAAACAUCUAUUUUCAUCUGUCAGAAAGAAGAAAGAACAGAACAUUUUAUGUGAAGUGUCAGAGAGAAAAUAAUGAAAAAUCAGAAUCACAAUGACAAUGCAAUACAUAUGUUAAAUAUUAAUACUAUGAC